Molecule: ribosomal RNA, 381 nt
Filed under: uncultured bacterium
Lineage: Bacteria
Description: bacterial SSU rRNA
Rfam family: Bacterial small subunit ribosomal RNA
Source: RNAcentral
AUUGAACGCUGGCGGCAUGCCUUACACAUGCAAGUCGAACGGUAACGCGGGGGCAACCCUGGCGACGAGUGGCGAACGGGUGAGUAAUACAUCGGAACGUACCCAGUAGUGGGGGAUAGCUCGGCGAAAGCCGGAUUAAUACCGCAUACGACCUAUGGGUGAAAGCGGGGGAUCGCAAGACCUCGCGCUAUUGGAGCGGCCGAUGUCGGAUUAGCUAGUUGGUGAGGUAAAGGCNCACCAAGGCUACGAUCCGUAGCUGGUCUGAGAGGACGACCAGCCACACUGGGACUGAGACACGGCCCAGACUCCUACGGGAGGCAGCAGGUGGGGAAUUUUGGACAAUGGGCGCAAGCCUGAUCCAGCCAUGCCGCGUGUGUGAAG